Molecule: long non-coding RNA, 1857 nt
Organism: Gadus morhua (Atlantic cod)
Lineage: Eukaryota; Metazoa; Chordata; Actinopteri; Gadiformes; Gadidae
Exons: 5
Source: RefSeq, a predicted model, not a curated record
CUAAAACCGAAACUAUGAGUCCAGGUUCCCGGGGAUCAGCGGGACGGAGAGUGUCGCCCGGCCUCGGCCCUGUCUCCCGCGGUCGCUCCGGAGGGCCAGCGCUCCCAAAGUAGACCGGCUGGCCUCAGGUAAAAAUAAAAAAAAUACUUUAUAAAGUAAUUUCCCUUCUUCAAACUCGGGGGAUCCUGACCAAUCUGCUGGCUCAUGUUUAUUCAUGAGCUCUGCCAGACGACUUCCGGAAGGAUUCGGUAAAAGUAACAAGUUUCAAAUCUAUGUGAGUGUCAUUCAAGUUUUCCAAAGCAAUGUAGUUCACCGAUUUCGCACAUAUAGAAAAAUAUCCCCACCAGAAUAUGAAAAAUAUGCAAAUUCAUGUGAAUGUCCAAAAUGUUCCAUGAAAUUUGAACCACCUUCUACGGUUUCAUUGGAGAAAGUGGAGUCCCGGCCGACCCCUCUCUUUCCGAGACCUCCAUGAGGUCAUCCGUAUCAACCUUGUUGAAUUUAUGACUAUGUUUAAAUGACUUUUUCUCAGAAUGUCUACCUCCACUAAUAUUUCCUCCAGAUAUUGUAUAUUGCCAAAGGAGCAUGGCAUCAAAUGCGUGGCUCUACGGCGCCCUCUGGUGGGAGAUUCUAGCAUCGCCAGAUGCUGUAAGGGAAAUCAUACGGAGGAUUUGCAGCACUCUCCUGUUUCUCGGACAGGGCCGGGUUUGGUUGCUCAGACGGAGCUUCACCUUCCAUACACACCUUGGCGUUAUGCUACUUCGGUCCUGCCAUCUUCCCUUCAAAAGGCGAUCGCGCAUCUACAUUGCAUUGUACGGUAAUGCUCUUUUGCACUGGCGCGGUCAGGUGUGCCUCGUAAACUAAGAAAUAUGCACGUCUCGAAUGGACACGAAAGUUUUGAAUUUCUUAUUUUCCUUUGUUGAAAUACAUACUUAGGUUUUAUCAAUUAUGCAUGCAUUGCUAUAGUAGGCAGGUAUAGGAAUACCAUAUUCUUGUUAUUUGUUAACAUGUCCCCAGGUACCUCUGCGUUGUUUUUCAAGUUCUACUGUUUGACAUUUUAAUAAUUAGGGCCUGGAUGCUAAGGUCAUCCCUAAUGCACGUCUGUUACUAUACAGGCAGUAACAACUGUUAUAUAAUGUGUUCCACUUCUAACCCUUACCAUUGAAUAUUGUCUUCUAACGCUAACUCUAACCAAACAUAACAUGGAGAUAAUUAUCAUUUUGUUACUAAGUGCCAACGUCAUGACUGACCUUUGGAGUUUAAUAAAAUAAAGUAUUUCUGUAGUCUUGCACUGACACAAGGUGGCAGCAAAAUGCAAAAAACAACAAGAUCGAAUAGUUGGUCAUCAUGAGAGGAGGAAGAGGAGACAGUGACGGCAGGAAGAGGAGAGAGUGACGGGAGGAAGAGGAGAUAACAACAUGGGAAGAGGAAGAGGAGAAAACGAUUGGAGGAAGAGGAGAGAACACAGAGGGAGGAGAAAGAGGAGAGUGGAAGGGGAACAGGAGGGGAGAAGGAGGAGGAGGAAUGAGGAGGUGAUUAUGACCCUAGAUGCUUUUAUCACCCAACAGAGGUGGAGAGGGAGAAAGGUCUGGAGAUGGAGCCCUCUGAGCAGACAGGAAUGUCAGCCACGCCAGACUGACAGCGGAAACACAUGACUGGCUCUGGAGUGUUGCACUUCCUCACUGACCCUAACCCUGGUAUCGACUAGCAGGUGGAAACCCAACUCGCAGGACCUCUGAUACGCUCCAACACACACUCUCUCUCUCUCUCUCUCUCUCUCUCUCUCUCUCUCUCUCUCUCUCUCUCUCUCUCUCUCUCUCUCUCUCUCUGUCUCUGUCUCUGUCUCUCUGUCUCUCUGUC